GGAAUUGCUAGUAAUCGCGGAUCAGCAUGCCGCGGUGAAUACGUUCCCGGUCUUGUACACACCGCCCGUCACACCAUGGGAGUCGGAAAUGCCCGAAGUCUGUGACCCAACCUGAGAGGGAGGAGCAGCCGAAGGCAGGUCUGAUGACUGGGGUGAAGUCGUAACAAGGUACC
RNAcentral lists this ribosomal RNA (173 nucleotides) under uncultured bacterium. RNAcentral's name for it is "partial 16S ribosomal RNA". It matches the Rfam family "Bacterial small subunit ribosomal RNA", at positions 1328 to 1500 of the family's 1533-position model. The record is from RNAcentral.